ACAUGUCAAGAGCCGCGUGACUGAGUAAGUUUUAUAAGUUUUCAGUGGUUUAGUCCUAAUAUUUUGAAAUUUAUUGCAACAGAAGCUCUAUUUUCACUGUUAUCUUAUGAGUUGGAAACUAUGCUCGAAGACUUGACCUUGUGAGAAGAGGAAGCAUUUAAUUGCAUUUUUCAAUUUUUUGUGCUGUUCUUACAAAUUGGUUCUCUAUUGCUGAUGCAUGGAAAAAGGUAAAUGUUUUAACUUUUUGAAUCUUAGAUUCCAUGCUUAUUUAGUGCAUAGGUAUAUUAAAUUCUAGACAUAUUCAUUGUUUUAAUGCAUAACUAUUACAGUAAAAUUUGAAUAGGAUUCAUACCAUGUGAUGGGAAGAAGGAUAUUUGGGCACUUUGUGCA
This 390-nucleotide unclassified non-coding RNA is filed under the name Hevea brasiliensis (rubber tree). The record is from RNAcentral. Lineage: Eukaryota; Viridiplantae; Streptophyta; Magnoliopsida; Malpighiales; Euphorbiaceae.